UGGGGAAUCUUGGACAAUGGGCGCAAGCCUGAUCCAGCCAUGCCGCGUGAGUGAUGAAGGCCCUAGGGUUGUAAAGCUCUUUCACCGGUGACGAUAAUGACGGUACCCGCAGAAGAAGCCCCGGCUAACUCCGUGCCAGCAGCCGUGGUAAGACGGAGGGGGCUAGCGUUGUUCGGAAUUACUGGGCGUAAAGCGCGCGUAGGCGGUUUGCCAAGUUGAGGGUGAAAUCCCGGGGCUCAACCCCGGAACGGCCUUCAAAACUGGCCGACUUGAGUCCGGAAGAGGAGAGUGGAAUUCCCAGUGUAGAGGUGAAAUUCGUAGAUAUUGGGAAGAACACCGGUGGCGAAGGCGACUCUCUGGUCCGGUACUGACGCUGAGGUGCGAAAGCGUGGGGAGCAAACAGGAUUAGAUACCCCCGUAGUCC
RNAcentral lists this ribosomal RNA (424 nucleotides) under uncultured prokaryote. RNAcentral describes it as "bacterial SSU rRNA". It matches the Rfam family "Bacterial small subunit ribosomal RNA", at positions 355 to 796 of the family's 1533-position model. The record is from RNAcentral.